AUCGUUCAUCUCUCCACAUCACAAAACUCUGAACGUGUUGGAGCCAAGUGAGGGGAGACGGAAGUAGGGACAACUCCCGAAGGAACGCGCC
Molecule: non-coding RNA, 91 nt
Filed under: Phormidium sp.
Lineage: Bacteria; Bacillati; Cyanobacteriota; Cyanophyceae; Oscillatoriales; Oscillatoriaceae
Also listed under: 1 other name
Description: Glutamine-I sequence
Rfam family: Glutamine riboswitch aptamer (glnA leader)
Source: RNAcentral